RNAcentral lists this long non-coding RNA (1050 nucleotides) under Betta splendens (Siamese fighting fish). Its description in RNAcentral is "lncRNA (ENSBSLG00000022455.1)". The record is from RNAcentral. Lineage: Eukaryota; Metazoa; Chordata; Actinopteri; Anabantiformes; Osphronemidae.
GUCUGACACGCACGCCGUCCGACCGAUCAAACAGACACGCAGAUAACGGCGAAGCGGGGGCUCAGGAUUGGAGCCGGAGAUGAUGUGGAGGAACUUGAGCUGUCCAUUGAUUAUAAUGAGGACUGCUGAAGAUCACAUGAUGAGGAAUGAAAGGGAGAGGUGGUGUAACAUGCCUUUGGUUGGUGCCUUUUUGACCUCACCCAGUCAAGACCUCCACAAUCAGUCCUGAGCGGAGGUCUGUUUGGGAGGAGACAAAGUCGUCUUCCUCGGGUCCGAGCGGGGAUGUGAGCGAUCCGAAGAGGAGGACGGGAAGAGCUGCGUGUGGCAGGUGGUACAGGAGGAGCGAGUGGAAUCAAUGGGCUCCGUAGCGCUAAACGAAUCAGUAAAGAUUCCAAACAGCAGCUGCUCCCAUCUGUCAUCGGCGCUGUUUGGCUCCCCAAGUUCUCACCUGUCACUCAGCAUGAAAUCCCAUGCAUCUAAAUGACAACGGGGUAAAAAAGGUAUUUGGGAUGAACAGUGACAACUGACCUCGUUGCCGUGACGAUUAUUUACGUCCAGACUUGAAUGUUCAGGUGUCUGCAUGUGCUAACGGCUUCUGCAGGGAUGUCGCUAUCUUCCAUCUGCAUAGAAUGAGGGAUAAUUAACAUCUUCACCUGGCUCCUGGUUUGUUCAUUUAAAAAGCCUAAUUAAUCACGGGGACAACGCUGGGACUGGAGUCGGCACCGCCAAGCGUGAAAUUACCUUUCUCAGAGAUGUCCAUAAACAGCGAUCCAGCCAAGCUACCCUCUGUAGCCAGGCCUGCCAUCUUUUUUUUUUUUUAAUCUCACACUGUACACGAGGAGAGCGAGGAGAACCGGUGCAAAGGUGGGGAACAUCAACGCUGUUGAAGUGCAGCAGCAGAUGUGAGGGAGCGGAGCCGGGCUCGGCUUUGUGAUGUCCCACUGUGUAGGCCGCCCCGUGGUCCUGCUCGGCUGCGUAAAAAUAAUAUUAGCUGGUGGGCCAGGUAUCCGCAACACCUACUUCUUGGCGAGGCUCUCUGGCCCGAAUCGA